This 119-nucleotide ribosomal RNA is filed under the name Lepisosteus oculatus (spotted gar). The record is from RNAcentral. Lineage: Eukaryota; Metazoa; Chordata; Actinopteri; Semionotiformes; Lepisosteidae.
GUCAGCAGCCAUAUCACCCUGCAACUCACAACUGGCAACCCACUGAAGCUCAGCAGGUGUGAACCAGGCCAGUUACCUGAAUGGGAGACCUCCUGGGAAAGCUAAGGUUGCUGCUGGAA